UUCCAACUGUACCAGGAAGUGACGGACUAUUGCAGAGUACUGAAGAAGGUGUAAAGCUUGCCGAGGAGAUUGGUUACCCCGUGAUGAUUAAGGCAACAGCUGGUGGUGGUGGACGUGGAAUGCGUCUUGCUAAAGAACCUAAUGAGUUCGUAAAAUUAUUGCAGCAAGCUAAGAGUGAAGCAGCAGCUGCAUUUGGAAAUGAUGGCGUUUAUCUGGAGAAGUACAUCGUAAAUCCCAGGCACAUUGAAUUUCAGGUUUUGGCGGACAAGUAUGGUAAUGUUGUACACUUUGGAGAGCGUGAUUGCAGUAUUCAGAGAAGAAACCAAAAGUUGCUGGAGGAAGCACCAUCCCCGGCAUUGACACCAGAGCUGCGGAAAGCCAUGGGUGAUGCAGCUGUGGCAGCAGCAGCAUCUAUAGGUUACAUUGGUGUUGGAACCAUAGAGUUCCUAUUGGAUGAGAGAGGCUCCUUUUACUUCAUGGAAAUGAACACUCGUAUUCAGGUAGAGCAUCCGGUGACAGAAAUGAUAUCCUCUGUUGAUCUGAUAGAGGAACAGAUCCGUGUCGCUAUGGGAGAAAAGCUCCGAUACAAACAGGAGGAUAUUGUGCUUAGAGGACAUUCAAUUGAAUGCCGUAUAAACGCAGAAGAUGCUUUCAAAAACUUCAGACCCGGCCCAGGGAGAAUCACUUCAUAUUUACCAGCUGGAGGUCCAUUUACGCGUAUGGAUAGCCAUGUUUAUCCUGACUAUGUGGUUCCACCUAGCUACGAUUCCCUGCUAGGAAAGCUCAUCGUAUGGGCUCCAACACGCGAGAGGGCUAUUGAGCGCAUGAAAAGAGCACUUGAUGACACCGUUAUCACUGGAGUUCCUACCACAAUAGAAUAUCAUAAACUCAUCCUUGAUAUCGAGGACUUUAAGAACGGGAAAGUUGAUACUGCUUUCAUUCCAAAGCAUGAGGAAGAGUUAGCUCCGCCUCAGCAAAUUGUUCCAGCAGCAAGCAAGGAGCUGAUCAAUGCCAAUGCUUAAUUAUUCUUCUAUUUUAGUUUUAGUUUUUUCUUCUUUGAUUUUCUUACUUCAUCAAGUGAAUUUAGUUUAAGAACAUUACUCUCAUUGGAACUUGAAGUGAGUGCAUUUUUGGAUAUAACUUUCAUCUCCG
This 1152-nucleotide unclassified non-coding RNA is filed under the name Hevea brasiliensis (rubber tree). The record is from RNAcentral. Lineage: Eukaryota; Viridiplantae; Streptophyta; Magnoliopsida; Malpighiales; Euphorbiaceae.